RNA transcript from Hevea brasiliensis (rubber tree), 5398 nucleotides. RefSeq lists it as uncharacterized. NCBI's taxonomy places the organism in Eukaryota, Viridiplantae, Streptophyta, Magnoliopsida, Malpighiales, Euphorbiaceae. The transcript is spliced from 22 exons. The record is from RefSeq and is a predicted model, not a curated record.
UACAGCUUUUAUUUUUUUGGCCUUCAGAGGACCAAAGGUCCAAACUGAACCGUCUCUACCAAAGUUGAUGAACUGAACCCUAGUGGCUAUUCCCUUUCUCUGGUUUUGAUCUCAUCCAAUCCUUUUAUUUUGUGGAUAUCAGCAUUCAAAUUUUUCUUUGCCCUCUGUCAGAACUAAUAAUUAAUAUGCUUCUCUAAGCAUCUCACCUCGACCUGCCAAAAUUAGGGUUUUCAGAUUCUGCAAUGGUGGGGAUGACGAAUUCCACUUCGAGAGAUAGGCUCGCCACCCUCGUCAGGUCGUCCAUAGACAUACCUUCAAAGCUUGAAAAUUUGCGUCAAUUAAACCAAAAUUUGCUCCAAGAAGAUGACACUGGUUCGCUUUCUGAGUUCCUCCCUCGCCUCUUCGAGUUGCAGUCUGAUCAGCAUUCUCCGGUUCGCAAACGUGUUGCCCAGAUAAUUGGAGAAAUUGGACUCAACCACUUGGAAUUUGUGCCUGAAAUCGUUCCUGUUUUAAUGAGUGUUUUGGAAGAUAGUGCACCAGCCGUUGCUAGACAAGCCAUCACUUGUGGGAUUAAUUUGUUUCGGUCUACCCUUCAAAAACUUGCGAUUCAGGGACUUUACGCCAGUGAUUUGGAUGAUUUGCUCAAGUCAUCGUGGUCUUCAAUGUUAGAAUUCAAGGAAAAAAUGUACUCUAUAGCUUUUCAGCCUGGAAGUGGCGGGGUAAGGUUGCUAGCCUUGAAGUUUGUGGAAGCAGUCAUUCUUCUUUACACACCUGAUCCAAAUGGCUCCCCAGAACCCCCUCGUCAUGAAGGAGAACUUGUGGAGUUUAAUAUAUCAUGGCUUCGUGGGGGCCACCCAAUACUAAAUAUAGGAGAUUUGUCAAUUGAGGCCAGCAAAAGAUUGGGUUUAUUGCUUGAUCAGCUUAGGUUCCCAACAGUGAAAUCUCUCAAUAACUUGGUGAUUGUGGUGCUCAUUAAUGGUCUUGCUACAAUUGCAAAGAAAAGGCCCCCAUAUUAUGGACGCAUCCUGCCAGUUUUACUUGGUUUGGGUCCAUCAGGCUCUGGUAUUGAAGUUAUGCAUGCAUCUGGAGCAAAUCAUGCUUUGAAAAGUGCUUUCCUCACCUGCUUGAAAUGUACGCACCCUGGUGCUGCACCGUGGCGGGAUCGUUUAGUUGGUGCCCUAAGAGAGCUGAAAGCUGGAGGGGUCGCUGAGGAAGCCCUACAUCAAGUUUUCAAGAUUAAGAGGGGUACUGAGGAGGGAGAGGAAGUUUCGACAGCUGUUAUGGAUGAGGUUGAAACAUUUGAUGGCAUACAAGGUAUAUUGGGAAGGAAAAGAUCUGGAGCAGAGGAUAGUAGUGAGUUGGCAGAAGACAAUGAUGUGUCUGGAAAACGUGCCAGACCGAUGCCAAGUGUUUCAGAGGAAUCAACUAAAGAGUUGAAUAGGAAUAUUUCAGCGUCUCAAGAUGAUGGUCCUGCAGAUGGACCUACAGUUAAUGGAGGAGAAGAUGAUACUGGACCUGUACAGCAACUUGUUGCAAUGUUCGGAGCCUUGGUUGCUCAAGGUGAAAAAGCUGUUGGUUCCUUGGAGAUUCUUAUUUCGAGUAUCUCUGCUGACUUGUUAGCUGAAGUAGUGAUGGCUAACAUGCGCUACCUUCCUACUAGUCAUCCUCAAGCUGAAGGAGACGAUGAAUCGCUAGUGAAUAUGACUAUAAUUGGUAGUAACACUCAAGCCAAGUAUCCAUAUUCAUUUUUGACUAAUGUUCUUUCACUUUCUACUUCUUUCCCGCCGAUAGCAUUACGGCUAAAUGCUCACCAGUCAGCUUCCAAUGACAUAGAGAGGACGGCACAAGUGCAGCCUGUGGCUGAUAGUAAUGUUGUAUAUUCUGGAAUAAGUCAUGGAGCUGAAAAUGAAAUCUUACCUGCUAGUUUACCGGCACCUUCAAAUGUGAUCUUAUCUGGAAUGGAGAUGGAUAUUCCAUCUGAUAGCCUGAGUCUUGGGAAUCUGGAGAGUGAGAUACCUGGCCUAGAUUCUUCUGCUCAUGAUGAUGGAUGUUCUGAAACUGUGGCCGCUUUGUCAUUAGUCUCUACCGAUCUGGAAGAUGCCAGUCAAGAGCAAGUUACAAGUUUGGAUGGAAGUUCAACCCUGGAUUUGCAUCCAGCGGCAUCAACAGAUAGGUCAGAGGAGCUUAGUCCAAAAGCAGCUGUGGCAGAUUCUAACUGUCUAAUCUCUUCUACAACAGCUACUGUGAGUUUACCUAGCACUUUUGUCCUCCCAAAAAUGUCAGCACCUGUUGUUGAUCUUGCAGAAGAACAGAAGGAUCAACUGCAAAAUUUGGCCUUUACGCACAUUGUUGAGGCCUAUAAGCAAAUAGCAGUUGCGGGAGGUUCACAAAUCCGCUUUUCCUUGCUUGCUUAUUUAGGAGUUGAGUUUCCAUCAGAGUUAGACCCGUGGAAACUCCUUCAGAAGCACAUAUUGUCAGAUUACGUGAAUCAUGAGGGACACGAGUUGACUUUGCGUGUCCUCUACAGAUUAUUUGGUGAGGUAGAAGAGGAACGCGAUUUCUUUUCUUCUACAACUGCUGCUUCUGUUUAUGAAAUGUUCCUCCUAACUGUGGCUGAAACACUUAGAGACUCUUUUCCUCCAUCAGACAAAUCAUUAAGUAGAUUGCUUGGUGAAGCUCCUUCUCUUCCAAAGUCAGUUCUGAAUUUGUUGGAGUCCUUGUGUUGUCCUGGAAAUGAUAAAGCUGAGAAGGAGUUCCCAAGUGGGGAUCGAGUUACUCAAGGUCUCAGCACUGUGUGGAGCUUGAUUUUGCAGAGGCCUCCUAUGCGAGAAGUCUGCUUGAAAAUUGCUUUGCAGAGUGCAGUUCAUCACUUGGAGGAAGUGCGCAUGAAAGCAAUUCGCCUGGUGGCAAACAAGCUUUAUCCUAUCUCAUCCAUUGCUCAACAAAUAGAAGAUUUUGCUAAGGAAAAAUUGCUCUGUAUCAUAAGUAGAGAUACCACAGAAGGUACAGAUGCUGAAGGAUUGAGCAGUGAACCACAGGAGGAUUCCAAUUUUGAAAAAACAUCAAAUGACCAUCAGUCAGUGAGUGCUGCCAGCAAAGAUAUUUCUUCAGACGCUCAUCAAUCAUUCACAUCAGAAAGUGCAUCAUCUCUCUCAAUCCCUGAGGCCCAGCGGUGCAUGUCACUGUACUUUGCUCUUUGCACAAAGAAACACUCCCUAUUUCGCCAAAUUUUUCUCAUUUAUAAAAGCACUUCAAAGGCAGUGAAGCAGGCAGUUCAUCGCCAUAUUCCGAUACUAGUCCGCACUAUGGGAUCAUCAUCUGAACUUCUUGAAAUACUUUCUGAUCCUCCAAUUGGAAGUGAAAAUCUUCUGAUGCAGGUUUUACAAACAUUGACAGAGGGGACAGUUCCUUCUCCUGAAUUAUUGUUCACCAUUAGGAAGUUAUAUGAUUCAAAGCUAAAGGAUAUAGAGAUUCUGAUUCCAGUACUGCCAUUCCUACCAAGAGAUGAGGUUUUGCUGACCUUUCCCCAUCUUGUGAAUCUUCCUCCUGAUAAGUUCCAAGCUGCACUUGCACGUGUACUACAGAGUAGGUCAUCUAUAUGGGGUGACUAUUUGUUCUCACCACCCAGCUCAGGAGAGACCUUGGCCUCCGACCUGCCGUCCCCUCUGAUCCGGUAGCCGGAAUCCAAGCGUGUGAGGCUCACACGCCUAACUCAGGUUCUCCUUGUUUUUUCACUCGCUGGCGUGUGGAGGCGUGUCCGCCGGCCGUUUCGACUCCGAUCAGCAUUGCCAGUGUUGCCUCAACCCUCUCAUUCCACCACUGUGUGCUGUUGCCUGAUCCAGUACACUAUUAAAGGACUUCUGAGGUUUAGUUCUCAAAUCCUAUUUCGGUAUUUGCUUGAUUUGUGAUUUUGGGUUAUUUUGCGGCUAUAAGUACUUUGGAUUAGCGUUUCGGUUAGUUUUCUUUGUCUCAACAAAUAGCAGACAAUAAGAAUGUUAUUUCUGAUGUGAUUCCGAUGAUGACUAAGAUCACGAAACAUAAACUUAAUGGUUCGAAUUACCUGGAGUGGAGUAAGACUGUUAGGGUCUAUUUGCGUAGCAUUGAUAAGGAUGAUUACCUUACUAAAGACCCACCCACUGAUGAUACACGGCAAACUUGGCUAUGGGAGGAUGCUCGUUUGUUUUUGCAGCUUCAGAACUCGAUUCACAGGGAGGUAAUUAGUUUAAUUAAUCACUGUGAAUUUGUUAAGGAAUUGAUGGAUUACUUAGAUUUUCUGCAUUCUGGUAAAGGGAAUAUCUCCCGUAUUUAUGAUAUUUGUAAGGCAUUUUACUAUGCUGAGAAAGAGGAUAAGUUUCUCAUGGCUUAUUUUAUGAAUUUUAAAUGGGUAUAUGAGGAACUUAAUGUAUUGUUGCCUUGUAGUUCUGAUGUGAAAGUUUAGCAAGCCCAACAGGAGCAACUGGCUGUUAUGAGUUUUCUUGCAGGCCUUCCUUCAGAGUACGAGACUGCUAAAUCUCAGAUUCUCUCCAGUUCUGAGAUUUCCUCUUUGUAUGAAACAUUCACACGGGUCCUUCGUACAGAGAGUACUCAAUCUUCACAGCUUGCCAGUAGUGCUCUUAUUAGCCGUAAUCCAAAUGAACAACAGGGUAAUAGAAGAGGAAGUAGAUGAGGAAUUACAGGCAACAGAGGUAAUCAGCGUAAUGGGGAGGCUAGUUCUAAUCAGGACUCAAGAAGAGUCAUUUGUUAUUAUUGCCAUGAGUCUGACCAUACAAAAUAUAAUUGUUCGCAACUUCAGAGAAAAAAUCAGCGAUCACAGAUGGCAAAUAUGGCAACAGAGGAUUCUACAGUAUCUUCCUCUGAGAACUGUUUUGGUGUCUGCAAAGGAUUUUGCACAGUUUUCCCAGUACCAGGCAUCUCUAAAGCCUACUAGUUCCCCUGUCACUGCGAUCGCUGAGUCAGCUAAAUCCACUACAUGUCUUGUGUCUUCCUCAUCCAAAUGGGUUAUUGAUUCUGGUGCGACAGAUCACAUGACAGAAUCUUACGACGAAGCAGAUUAUUGGUAGAGGACGUGAGUCUGGUGGUCUCUACAUUCUGAAAAAUCAUAUAUCGCGGUCACUUGUUUGUUCCAGUACCUUAACACUUCUUGAAGCUCAUUGUACAUUGGGCCAUCCUUCUUUGUUUAUCAUUUGUUUAUCAUGAAGAAGUUUUGUUCUCAGUUUCAGUUUUUAUCAUUACUAGAAUAUGAGUCGUGUCAGUUUGCAAAACAUCAUCAUUUGCCUUCUAUGUCUAGAAUCAAUAAACGGGCUUCAUCCCCUUUUGAGUUAGUUCAUUCUGAUGUUUGGGGUCCUUGUUCUAUUACUUCUAAAACUGGAUUUUGCUAUUUUGUUACUUUUGUUGAUGA